This 504-nucleotide ribosomal RNA is filed under the name uncultured bacterium. RNAcentral describes it as "partial 16S ribosomal RNA". It matches the Rfam family "Bacterial small subunit ribosomal RNA", at positions 28 to 523 of the family's 1533-position model. The record is from RNAcentral.
GAUAAACGCUAGCGGCAGGCUUAACACAUGCAAGUCGAGGGGCAGCAUAGAUUGUAGCAAUACAAUUGGUGGCGACCGGCGCACGGGUGCGUAACGCGUAUGCAACCUACCCGUCACAGGGGGAUAAUCCGGAGAAAUCUGGUCUAAUACCCCAUAACAUAUGGAUCGGCAUCGGUUCAUGUUGAAAUUUUCGGAGGUGACGGAUGGGCAUGCGUAGCAUUAGCUUGUCGGUGAGGUAACGGCUCACCAAGGCGACGAUGCUUAGGGGGACUGAGGGGUUGUCCCGCCAACAUGGGACUGACACACGGACCGGACGCAUACGGGAGGCAGCAGUGAGGAAUAUUGGUCAAUGGGGGCAAGCCUGAUCCAGCCAUGCCGCGUGCAGGAUGACGGCUCUAGGAGUUGUAAACUGCUUUUGUACGAGGGUAAAGUGGGUUACGUGUAACCUUUUGAAAGUAUCGUAGGAAUAAGGAUCGGCUAACUCCGUGCCAGCCGCCGCCGUAA